CACAGAACUGAAGUGCUGGUAAACUACAUUGACAAGCUUGGCCCCUCAGCACAACCAGAACCCAUUCAAAAGUGUCAAGCAAAGGAGCAACACAGCCUGAUUUGCAAUACCUGCUGCUGUUAGCUUUAGUGGUUUUGAAGCAGUGAUUUUGGAAAAAUCAAUCCAAUGAUUUUCAUUCUGAAGUAUUUUGGCUGCUAACUGGGACUUUCAUUGUGUGGUCUAAGACAGGGUCUAUCACCCUGGUUGGAGUGCAGCAGUGUAAUUAUAGCUUACUGCUGCCAUGAACUUCUGGGCUCAAACGAUCCUCCCACCUCAGCCUCCCUAUGUGCUGGGAUUAAAAGUGUGAUCCACCACGCCUCAUCACAAUGGUCUUAAAAGACACCCUAUUUCAUGUAAGUGCUCAAUAAACUGUUACUUACUGUGACAAGAUACAA
This 434-nucleotide long non-coding RNA is filed under the name Papio anubis (olive baboon). Its description in RNAcentral is "lncRNA (ENSPANG00000047553.1)". Lineage: Eukaryota; Metazoa; Chordata; Mammalia; Primates; Cercopithecidae. The record is from RNAcentral.